This is a non-coding RNA of Gasterosteus aculeatus aculeatus (three-spined stickleback), 529 nucleotides long. The record is from RefSeq and is a predicted model, not a curated record. Lineage: Eukaryota; Metazoa; Chordata; Actinopteri; Perciformes; Gasterosteidae.
CACCUCCAUCAUCUCCAGCAUCUCCAUCAUCUCCAUCACCUCCAUCAUCUCCAGCAUCUCCAUCAUCUCCAUCAUCUCGUCUGCCUCGCUGCCUCCAACUCACACCCUCCCACGCUCUCUCUCUCAUGCAUACAUUUGAAUGAACCCCCGAGGACCAGAUUCCCCUUUGAACUGAGCUGGCAGCUCUGCGCUCCUCUCCCUUCCUCCUCUUCUUCCUCCUCUUCCUCCUCCUCUUCCUCGUCUCUCUCCCUUUAUUCUUUUUCAAUUCAAAUUAAAAUGCUUUAUUGUCUCGACAGGAACGAAACCUGUGCAGACCGAAGCGCUACGUCAUCAUCUCAGAUGGAAACAGAGUUCCUGAUCUGUGCUAAACGUGGACAUCCGGGACAUGUCACGGAACUCUAAGCUGCCUACAGCACCAAGUCUCCUACUAAAAGACGGCCUGGGGACUUCAAGUGGACAACAUACAUUAAAAAAUAUAUAUCAUACGCAGAGCAUAAUAAAAGAUGCAGUUUCUUUGCAUGAGAAUCCA